Esox lucius (northern pike) is the source of this 1829-nucleotide long non-coding RNA. RefSeq lists it as uncharacterized. The record is from RefSeq and is a predicted model, not a curated record. The transcript is spliced from 8 exons. Lineage: Eukaryota; Metazoa; Chordata; Actinopteri; Esociformes; Esocidae.
CAUAAUAUGGAUAUUACUGUGAUGAAGAUAUCAGACCCACACAUCCCUCUUACUACUUAUAGAAGCUCUGCUCGGGUUUAACAACAAAUUCACAGAAUAUGGACUGUGGUAUAAUAUUACACGCUCUUUUUCUGGUGUCUGUUUCAGGACAGACUCUGUACCAGGACAAGAUAUCAGAGACUAAGAAAAAAGGGCAGAGUGUCUCAUUCAAAUGUGCAGUUACUGGCCGAUGUUUGAAUGACUACAUCCACUGGUACCAGAAAAAAGAAGGUGAACCCUUCACUUGGAAAGAAUCCAGUAAAUCCACAGAGCUGAAGAUCCAGUCAGUUGAUGACUCCCAUUCUGCCACCUACUACUGUGCCUGUUAUCAAAGUGGAACCCACAACAUAGUCAAGAUCUCAUGGAUGACGGUGGAUGGAAGGGGCCAAAAAGUGGUUGUGCAAAACGGACCGGAGGAACAGCUGGAACAGAUAGAUGAAGGACAGACAAUCAGUAUGAUCAUCAUUGAUAAAGUGAUGGCCAACGCAAACAAAUACAGCUGUUCUGUAAAGCAUGAAAGGGGCAUUCAAGAGGUUGACAUACCAAAUGAGAAACAAUCUGAAGCUCCUCCAGCCACCAAGGUAGCACCAACCUGUCCUCCCAGAAAUUACAAUCAGGACCCAGCGACUCUGGAGGUUGCAGACGACUACUUCUUGACAUGGAACUUUUCACUGUGCUUAACAAAAGUAUUUGGCUCUGGUACAACACUUUAUGUGACAGACAAGCAAGUCCAAAGACCCACGGUGACAGUUUUUCCAGCAUCUAAACAUGAGUCAGAUGAGAAGGUCAUCCUGCUGUGUCUGGCUAGAGAAAUGUAUCCAGACUUGGUCAAGAUCUCAUGGAAGAUAGAGGAUGGAAGUGGCCACAAAGAGGAAGUGUCCGUAAGAGAGAAGGAAGAGCUGGAACAGAGAGAGAAUGGACAGACGACCAGUAUGAUUAUCAUUGAUAAAAGGAAGGCUGACAGAAACAAAUACAGCUGUUCUGUGAAACAUGAACGGGGCAGUCAAGAUUAUCCGAUACCAAAAGAGAAACCAACUGAAUCUCACCCAGCCACCAUGACUGUUCCAAACUGUCCUUCCAGCAAUUACACACAGGUGCUUAAUGUUACAGAAGGUUUUUUCAAGUCCAUGUUAAGUCAAAACCUGGCAUCUCUGGCUUAUACACUGAUGAUAGUGAAGAGCCUGGUAUACUGCUGUGGGCUCGCUCUCCUGCUGCAACUUACAAAACUGAGAAAAGACACCCUGUAGACACAUUUAUUGAAAUGAUGUCCACAGUGUGGAUAGUUUAAAUGUGUGGUGACCAGAAAUUAUUUGAAAUCGCAUUAAGACCAAACAUUUCAAUUGAGGUUUUUCCCUGCAUUACUUACUGUAAUACAUGCUAAAAUAUUGUGAUUCAUAGAUAGUGGUAAGAACAUCUAAACAGCAAGCGAAUGUUUGCUGGUUUGAAUCCCUGAGCCGGAAAGGUGAAGAAUUGUUGUUCUGUCCCUGAGCAAUUUAGUUCACUCUAAUUGCUUCCAGGUCUUUUUGAGAAUGUGUACUUAGUAAUACUUGGUAAAACAAGGGUAAAACAAUUAUAAUAGUAACUUCAACUACAUAAUCUACAAUUAUUUGCAUACCAUUUCAUUUUAGUAGUGAAGGUUUUCUGAAGAACAAAAGCAAAGCAAAUAUGGAAGUAGACACAAUAUUAUUUAAAUUUACACUGUUAUUAAAAAGUAAUUUAAUUAUUCAGAAACAAAUGUACUUUAAUAUUAUAUAUACUUAUUAUUUCAAGAAAAUAAACUUAAUACCGUU